CUUCCUGUGCUCCAUAGGAGGACCCAUUGGACCCCCGGGCUGGCUGCAGGGCCCACACCUGGGUUAGACCUCGCACAGGGACGCUGCUGCCACUGUAAUAAAGCGUGCCUACACGCUUCUGAAACUGGUGUAGGAACAACCUCAGUUCUGUGAAAGGCGGACGCAGCAGGACAGAAUCUCCGUGGACAUCUGUCUGGAGGAGCAAUUUUACUGCGACAUUUUAAAGAAACAAAUUUAAUUGAUUUCCAAGGGUGUCCAUCGCGCUUCCUUCACUGCCUUGAUCAUGUCGGGGUCACCACCUGCGGGGGUUUGUCCUGCAGACCCUGACUCAACGACGGAUGAAUAAUGUACACUGACACAGAUCUUAUGCUUGUCAGUCCUGCUGAGCAUCCAGGCCACUUACAGACUCCAAGAAGAGUCCUGUCAGCCACGGCUCUGACUUGUUGGCCCUCCCGGCAUUUAUUUAGCACACAUUUAAUGACAGAAGUCUCAGGUAAACACCACUAGAAGGCUGGAAACACUCUUUUUGUAGAACAUACAAAUGGACAUUUCUAAGCACAUUGAGGCCUAUAAUGAAAAAUCAAAUAUCCCACAAUGAAAACUAGAAGGAAGCUAUCUGUGAUAAUGCUUUGUGGUGUAUGGAUUCAUCUCACUGACUGAAACCUGAGUUUUGAUUCACCAGGUUGGAAACACUCUUUUUGUAGAAUGUAUGAAGAGAUAUUUCUGAGGCCUGUUGUGAAAAACUGAGGUUUCCACAAGAAAAACUGGAAACAAGUUAUCUGAGAAAAUGCUUUAUGAUGGGUGAAUUCAUCUCACAAAAUUAAACCUUCGUUUUGAUUCAAAAGGUUGCAAACACUCUUUUUGCAGAAUCUAUGAAGGAACAUUUCUGAACCAAUUUUGGCCUAUAGUGGAAAACUGAACAUUCUGUGAUAUAAACUAGAGAAAAGAUAUCUGUGAAAAUGCUUUGCAAUGUGUGGAUUCAUCUCACUGGAUGGAACCUAUGCUUUGAUUUAGUAGGUUGGAAAUACUCAUUUUGUAGAAUCUACAAAGGAUAUUUCUGAGCCCCUUUGAGCCUGUAGUGAAAAAUCAAGGAUCCCAUGAAGAAAAACAGAAAAACACUAUCUGUCAAAAUGCUUAUUGGUGUGUGGAUUCUUCUUACCAAAUGGAACCUGUGUUUUGAUUCACCAGGUUGGAAACACUUUUUUGUAGAGUCUAUGAAGGGACAUUUCUCAGCCCAUUGAGGCCUAUAGUGAUGAACAAAAUAUCCCAUAAUAGAAGCUAGAAAAAAGCUAUUUCCAAAAAUGCUUUGCAAUGUGUGGAUUUAUCUUACAGAAUUAAACCUUUAUUUU
Long non-coding RNA from Homo sapiens (human), 1349 nucleotides. Ensembl annotates it as long intergenic non-protein coding RNA 662. The record is from Ensembl. Lineage: Eukaryota; Metazoa; Chordata; Mammalia; Primates; Hominidae.